This 339-nucleotide ribosomal RNA is filed under the name Triticum aestivum (bread wheat). RNAcentral's name for it is "partial small subunit ribosomal RNA". Lineage: Eukaryota; Viridiplantae; Streptophyta; Magnoliopsida; Poales; Poaceae. The record is from RNAcentral.
AUGACGAGGAGGGGUGCGCCCCCCCCCCCCCAACCGCCGAUGUCGCAGACUUUGAGGUCGCUGCCCGCGGGGAAAACAGCAUGCCCGCCGCCCAUGGGGGAAACCGCAUGCCCAAGAUCCCCGAUGCAGCGGAUGAGAUCGAGGUCCUUUGCGCAGCGAAGGGCAACUUGGAGGAGCGGCAGCUGCAGACCACGCAUCUCUCGCACACGCCGCCGCGCUAGGAGGUCGCGCGCAGCAGCCUGCAGCCUCACCGCCGCCGACACGUGGCGGGUAGCGAUCCAAGACGGAAGCGGUGACGGCGACGGCGGGGACUUGAUCUGCUGGAUGUGGACGCCCUAG